AUGCAGGCAGGAUUUAUUCCGAAGAGAAGAAAAAUUACCAUGUAGAGAUAUAUUCGUUAAUGUAAGAAGAACACCGGUGAUGAAGGCGAUCAUUGGAGGGACUAUGACGAGACGCGCGAAAGCGUGGGGAACACACAGGAUUAGAUACCGGAGUAGUACACGCUAUAAGCUGAGUAUUAGAGACGGUGGGGCGCACACAGUUCGGUGUCACCUAUAACGCAUUACGCAUUGCCCGUGGAGAACGGCCGCGCAGGGUUAAACUCUCAAGGAAUUGGACGGGGGCCGCCCCAACCGUGGGACCAGGGGAUUUAUUUGAAGCCACGCGCCGAACCUUUCCCACCCCUGGCCAGUUCCAUUCCGGUUCGAGAGAUUGGGCCUUCAAUUUGGCUGGGUGGAACCCCGGUUGUGCAUGGCUGUUGUCAGCUUGUGUUCUGAGAAGUUGGGUUAAGUCCCGCAACGAGCGCAACCCCUACCGCCAGGUGCCAUCAUUCAGUUGGGCACUUUGGUGGAACUGCCGGUGACAAGCCGGAGGAAGGCGGGGAUGACGUCAAGUCCUCAUGGCCCUUAUGGGUUGGGCUACACACGUGCUACAAUGGCGGUGACAGUGGGAUGCGAAGUCGCAAGAUGGAGCCAAUCCCCAAAAGCCGUCUCAGUUCGGAUUGCACUCUGCAACUCGGGUGCAUGAAGUUGGAAUCGCUAGUAAUCGCGGAUCAGCACGCCGCGGUGAAUACGUUCCCGGGCCUUGUACACACCGCCCGUCACACCAUGGGAGUUGGCUUUACCCGAAGGUGGUGCGCUAACCGGCAACGGAGGCAGCCAACC
Molecule: ribosomal RNA, 822 nt
Filed under: Azospirillum sp. Azo_LR2
Lineage: Bacteria; Pseudomonadati; Pseudomonadota; Alphaproteobacteria; Rhodospirillales; Azospirillaceae
Description: bacterial SSU rRNA
Rfam family: Bacterial small subunit ribosomal RNA
Source: RNAcentral